This 641-nucleotide long non-coding RNA is filed under the name Mytilus galloprovincialis (Mediterranean mussel). The record is from RNAcentral. Lineage: Eukaryota; Metazoa; Mollusca; Bivalvia; Mytilida; Mytilidae.
GAAACACAUAGCAAUACGCACAGUGAAACUCAGUUUAAAAGAAGUCCGAGUCCAAUGUGAGAAGAGGUAACAAAAGAAACAUUAGUUCUUCUAGAGAACAACUGUUGCCUAAAUAUCUAAAUGUAUAUAAACCGGCAUAUUUGUUUUAACAUAUGUUCAUAAGUUUGGCAGGAGCUCAUCAUGGUUUUCAAAUCUAACAUUGGUCAACGUACUUCUUGUGAAGGUAUUUAAUUUCGUAGAAAUCUAUUUCAAAAGUCUAGAAAUAUGAGCUGUGAGAUAUUUUUUCAGCAGUUCACAUGGUUCAGAUUUUGGUCUUUGAUUUUUUUUUAAGUUAACGAACAAGUAAAAGUAUAGAAAUAUGUUAACUUUUUAUGGAUGUCAACUGAUACACAGGAAGAUGUUAAUUUUAAAGAACCACUUUCAGAAUUUUACCCAAUACAUCUUAUAAUGAUAGAUGAUUAUCAAAUAGAAGAAUGCUAAUUUCAAUUUAUAACCGAAUACAUCAGAUGUUUGAAUUAAAAUGAACAGACAUUCUCACAAACUGUCAUCCGGGAAUACUUAUCAAUUGAUAAAUAGAUAAUGUGUAAUUUAAUACCUUCAACAGUUUUUAAUGCCAUUCCAAAACGUAAAGCAAUUGACAC